Molecule: transfer RNA, 136 nt
Filed under: Zymoseptoria tritici IPO323
Lineage: Eukaryota; Fungi; Ascomycota; Dothideomycetes; Mycosphaerellales; Mycosphaerellaceae
Description: Zymoseptoria tritici tRNA-Tyr for anticodon GUA
Source: RNAcentral
GCCCGCUUGGCACAGUGGUAAUGCGUGUCACUGUAAGCUAUCCCGCAACUCUUCUAUCAUCGCACGUACUAACGACUUCUCAGCGUACUAUACAAAUGUCAUGACAAGAUCGCUCGUUCGAUUCGGGCAGUGGGCA